AUACUUACCUGGUGUAGAGAUUUCUUUGAUCAAGAAGGAAGAUUCUCCGAAGUGAGGCGCGUCAUUGCACUUCGACGUGGCUGACCUUUGCGAUUAGAUCUCAAGUAUCUAACUCGUACACGUUAUUUUUGAUAGCAGGGAAAAGCGUUCGCGCUAUCCCUUU
Molecule: small nuclear RNA, 163 nt
Organism: Contarinia nasturtii (swede midge)
Lineage: Eukaryota; Metazoa; Arthropoda; Insecta; Diptera; Cecidomyiidae
Product: U1 spliceosomal RNA
Exons: 1
Source: RefSeq, a predicted model, not a curated record